GUUUACCAUGCAAGUCGAACGGCAGCACGGGAGCUUGCUCCUGGUGGCGAGUGGCGAACGGGUGAGUAACAUAUCGGAACGUACCUAGUAAUGGGGGAUAACUAGUCGAAAGAUUGGCUAAUACCGCAUACGCCCUGAGGGGGAAAGCGGGGGAUCGUAAGACCUCGCGUUAUUAGAGCGGCCGAUAUCUGAUUAGCUAGUUGGUGGGGUAAAAGCCUACCAAGGCGACGAUCAGUAGCUGGUCUGAGAGGACGACCAGCCACACUGGAACUGAGACACGGUCCAGACUCCUACGGGAGGCAGCAGUGGGGAAUUUUGGACAAUGGGCGCAAGCCUGAUCCAGCCAUUCCGCGUGAGUGAAGAAGGCCUUCGGGUUGUAAAGCUCUUUCGCAAGGGAAGAAACGAUGCAGUCGAAUAAACUGCGUUAAUGACGGUACCUUGAUAAGAAGCACCGGCUAACUACGUGCCAGCAGCCGCGGUAAUACGUAGGGUGCGAGCGUUAAUCGGAAUUACUGGGCGUAAAGCGUGCGCAGGCGGUUUUGUAAGUCAGAUGUGAAAUCCCCGGGCUCAACCUGGGAACUGCGUUUGAAACUACAAGGCUAGAGUGUAGCAGAGGGGGGUAGAAUUCCACGUGUAGCAGUGAAAUGCGUAGAGAUGUGGAGGAAUACCAAUGGCGAAGCAGCCCCCUGGGUUAACACUGACGCUCAUGCACGAAAGCGUGGGGAGCAAACAGGAUUAGAUACCCUGUAGUCCACGCCGUAACGAUGUCAACUAGCCGUUGGGUUAUAAUGAACUUAGUGUGCAGCUAACGCAUUAAGUUGACCGCCUGGGGAG
This 834-nucleotide ribosomal RNA is filed under the name uncultured beta proteobacterium. Its description in RNAcentral is "bacterial SSU rRNA". It matches the Rfam family "Bacterial small subunit ribosomal RNA", at positions 46 to 880 of the family's 1533-position model. The record is from RNAcentral. Lineage: Bacteria; Pseudomonadati; Pseudomonadota; Betaproteobacteria.